This 1281-nucleotide long non-coding RNA is filed under the name Felis catus (domestic cat). RNAcentral describes it as "lncRNA (ENSFCAG00000043137.2)". The record is from RNAcentral. Lineage: Eukaryota; Metazoa; Chordata; Mammalia; Carnivora; Felidae.
UGGGGGGAAGGGCAAGCAGACCGGCCAGGCUUGGUGCCCUUGUGAGGCUUACACGGGGUGCUCCAGGCAGCGUGUCAGGGACUGGCUUAGAAACCCGUGGGGUUGAGCGCUGGGUGUUGUAUGGAAACCAAUUUGACAAUAAAUUGCAUAUAUUGAAAAAAAAAAGAAAUGCAAAAAAAAAAAAAAACCCACAAGAAACCCACAGAGAAGAGGAGGGGAAAAUAGCACAAAAGACAAAAGCAAAACCAGGUAGCUGGGAGAUGGUGGGAAAACACUGACGUUGGACUGAAGGGUUGGCUUGGACGACUUGACCUCUCUGGGCUUUAGGAACUUCACCCCCCCCUCCCAGCGUGGCACCGGUAAAAAUCCCUCCCCGACAGCUACUCAGGGAAGAGGAAUCGGGUCCGAGUGUAGAAAGCAAAUAUUUAUUGAGAAUCUACUCUGUGCCAGGUGCUGUUAUAGGUAACAGCAACACAGGGAUUAAUAAAAUAAGAGUUUUGCCUUUGAGAAACUCUUAUUUCCGCAUGUACUUGCCCAUGCUGGCGAAGUGAGUGAGGAUAUAGAAACGAACUAAAAAAACAAACGUGUUGAAAGCCUGCUGUGUGACGGUCACUUUGUCCUGUGUUCUGUUACCUCAUUUUAACCUCGCGAGGACACUCCAAGGUGUUGUUCGCUUUACAAAGGAGGAAACUGGCCCAGAGACGUUCACCACGUUUGCCAAAACCACGCAGCUCGUAUGGAGUUUAGGAUGUGAAAUCUCCCCAGACCUCCAAUCCUCUCUCCUUCUCCACGGUUAGAAGCCAGCCAUCUGGAGCGUUCUCAUCUUACCACAGCCAAACCGCAGACCUGUCUAUACCAGCAUCUAGCCUGUCCUUUCCCCUCUUGUUCAAUGGAGAAAGCGUGCUUCUCGGUAUCACACGGAUUCUGGAUCCCAGAACUUCUCUUGGAUCUGUUUGUAGGUUUGGCCUUGUCGGAGCAUGCCAACAGACAGCAGAAUCACCAGCUACAUUUGCUAAGAGAGAUUGUGCCAAACUGAUGCACUUGACCGCCCGAGGAAACAACUCCCUGCUCUUCCAGGUUACUGAUCUCAAGUAGAUCAAUCAAUAUUGUCAGAGCCUGCGGCUGAAGUAAAUUUUACUCGGAUUCUGGCACAAGACACAGGUCAGUCAGAGAAAACCUCCCCAGGGGAAAAGUGUAGCGAUAGUAACGGUCACAUUAUUCACAGUGGUAACUGAAAUUGAUAUGACCUUUAUGGUUAGCAAAGAACGUCUGCAUUUGCUU